GGAACUAUAGCUCAGUUGGUUAGAGUACCUCGUUGACAUCGAGGGGGUCACUGGUUCGAGUCCAGUUAGUUCCACCA
RNAcentral lists this transfer RNA (77 nucleotides) under Phascolarctobacterium faecium. RNAcentral's name for it is "transfer RNA-Val(GAC)". It matches the Rfam family "tRNA". From Rfam's summary of the family: Transfer RNA (tRNA) molecules are approximately 80 nucleotides in length. The record is from RNAcentral. RNAcentral also lists the same sequence under 4 other names. Lineage: Bacteria; Bacillati; Bacillota; Negativicutes; Acidaminococcales; Acidaminococcaceae.